RNAcentral lists this ribosomal RNA (867 nucleotides) under Bacillus amyloliquefaciens. Its description in RNAcentral is "bacterial SSU rRNA". It matches the Rfam family "Bacterial small subunit ribosomal RNA", at positions 16 to 874 of the family's 1533-position model. Lineage: Bacteria; Bacillati; Bacillota; Bacilli; Caryophanales; Bacillaceae. The record is from RNAcentral.
AUCCCGGUCAAGGACSRAACGCUGCGGCGUGCCUAAUACAUGCAAGUCGAGCGGWCAGAUGGAAGCURCUCCUGAUGUAAGCGCGACGGGUGAGUAACACGUGGGUAACCUGCCUGUAAGMYGRGAUAACUCCGGGAAACCGGGGCUAAUACCGGAUGGUUGUUGAACCGCAUGGUCAGACAUAAAAGGUGGCUUCGGUACCACUUACAGAWGGACCCGCGGCGCAUAGCUAGUUGGUGAGGUAACGGCUCACCAAGGCGACGAUGCGUAGCCGACCUGAGAGGGUGAUCGGCCACACUGGGACUGAGACACGGCCCAGACUCCUACGGGAGGCAGCAGUAGGGAAUCUUCCGCAAUGGACGAAAGUCUGACGGAGCAACGCCGCGUGAGUGAUGAAGGUUUUCGGAUCGUAAAGCUCUGUUGUUAGGGAAGAACAAGUGCCGUUCAAAUAGGGCGGCACCUUGACGGUACCUAACCAGAAAGCCACGGCUAACUACGUGCCAGCAGCCGCGGUAAUACGUAGGUGGCAAGCGUUGUCCGGAAUUAUUGGGCGUAAAGGGCUCGCAGGCGGUUUCUUAAGUCUGAUGUGAAAGCCCCCGGCUCAACCGGGGAGGGUCAUUGGAAACUGGGGAACUUGAGUGCAGAAGAGGAGAGUGGAAUUCCACGUGUAGCGGUGAAAUGCGUAGAGAUGUGGAGGAACACCAGUGGCGAAGGCGACUCUCUGGUCUGUAACUGACGCUGAGGAGCGAAAGCGUGGGGAGCGAACAGGAUUAGAUACCCUGGUAGUCCACGCCGUAAACGAUGAGUGCUAAGUGUUAGGGGGUUUCCGCCCCUUAGUGCUGCAGCUAACGCAUUAAGCAUCCGKCU